RNAcentral lists this ribosomal RNA (254 nucleotides) under uncultured bacterium. Its description in RNAcentral is "partial 16S ribosomal RNA". It matches the Rfam family "Bacterial small subunit ribosomal RNA", at positions 524 to 776 of the family's 1533-position model. The record is from RNAcentral.
UACGAAGGGAGCUAGCGUUGUUCGGAAUCACUGGGCGUAAAGCGCACGUAGGCGGAUUUGUCAGUCAGGGGUGAAAUCCCGGGGCUCAACCUCGGAACUGCCUUUGAUACAGCAAGUCUUGAGUUCGAGAGAGGUGGGUGGAAUUCCUAGUGUAGAGGUGAAAUUCGUAGAUAUUAGGAAGAACACCGGUGGCGAAGGCGGCCCCACUGGCUCGAUACUGACGCUGAGGUGCGAAAGCGUGGGGAGCAAACAGG